Molecule: ribosomal RNA, 671 nt
Filed under: Curtobacterium sp. TB9
Lineage: Bacteria; Bacillati; Actinomycetota; Actinomycetes; Micrococcales; Microbacteriaceae
Description: bacterial SSU rRNA
Rfam family: Bacterial small subunit ribosomal RNA
Source: RNAcentral
GAGGACCCCCGAGGGGGAAGGCAGAUCUUCUGGGCCGUAACUGACGUUGAGGAGCGAAAGCGUGGGGAGCGAACAGGAUUAGAUACCCUGGUAGUCCCACGCCGUAAACGUUGGGCGCUAGAUGUAGGGACCUUUCCACGGUUUCUGUGUCGUAGCUAACGCAUUAAGCGCCCCGCCUGGGGAGUACGGCCGCAAGGCUAAAACUCAAAGGAAUUGACGGGGGCCCGCACAAGCGGCGGAGCAUGCGGAUUAAUUCGAUGCAACGCGAAGAACCUUACCAAGGCUUGACAUACACCGGAAACGGCCAGAGAUGGUUGCCCCCUUGUGGUCGGUGUACAGGUGGUGCAUGGUUGUCGUCAGCUCGUGUCGUGAGAUGUUGGGUUAAGUCCCGCAACGAGCGCAACCCUCGUUCUAUGUUGCCAGCGCGUUAUGGCGGGGACUCAUAGGAGACUGCCGGGGUCAACUCGGAGGAAGGUGGGGAUGACGUCAAAUCAUCAUGCCCCUUAUGUCUUGGGCUUCACGCAUGCUACAAUGGCCGGUACAAAGGGCUGCGAUACCGUAAGGUGGAGCGAAUCCCAAAAAGCCGGUCUCAGUUCGGAUUGAGGUCUGCAACUCGACCUCAUGAAGUCGGAGUCGCUAGUAAUCGCAGAUCAGCAACUCUGCGGAAAUUG